GCCGUGAGGUGUUGGGUUAAGUCCCGCAACGAGCGCAACCCCUGGCGUAUGUUUCACGUGUCAUGCGCAACAGCCGGCGCAAGCCGGAGGAAGGUGGGGAUGACGUCAAGUCAGCAUGGUCCUUAUGGCCAGGGCUACACACACGCUACAAUGGCCGGUACAAUGGGUCGCCACACCGCGAGGUGGAGCUAAUCCAGAAAGUCGGUCUCAGUUCGGAUUGGAGUCUGCAACUCGACUCCAUGAAGGCGGAGUUGCUAGUAACCGCAGGUCAGCCAUACUGCGGUGAAUACGUUCCCGGGCCUUGUACACACCGCCCGUCACGUCAUGGGAGUCGGCCACACUUGAAGUCGGUUUAGGGAUGCAACCCGGCUGCCUAGAGUGGGGCUGGCGACUGGGACGAAGUCGUAACAAGGUAGCUGUACCGGAAGGUGCGGCUGGAUCACCUCCUUUCUACGGAGACAGUGGACGGUCAAACGUCCACGCAUUGCUCCGCGGCGGGCGUCCUUCGGGAUGCCCAGCCUAGGGUACCCUUCGAGGUGCCCAGGGCGCCCUAACCGGUGCCAUGACCUCCUUCGUGAGGUCGGACCUCCCUGGUCAUGCCCCGUCCUUCGGGACAAGGCGUCACCUCGGAUGUCACCCGACCCCUGCUCGCAGUCGGUCGGUCAGGUCUCCUGCCUCGGCAGAUGACCAUCCCCUCUUCUUCCUCUCUUCUUUGUUGGUAAGGUGCCUGCGCGGGCUGAAGAUCGCGGCCGUCAAUGUGUUCCAGGCUUGCGAGCCGGCUGGCUUUCGGGGCUGUAGCUCAGUUGGGAGAGCGCCUGAUUUGCAUUCAGGAGGUCAGGGGUUCGAAUCCCCUCAGCUCCACCAUCACUACCGGGUGCGUCGCCGAAAUGGCCGCGAAAUUUGACACCCGACAUAAUUUGGCUAUCAUUGCCCUUCCUGCCGUUCGAACGGUGACCCGUGGCCGCCAGAGACUCUGGCGAACAAGGGUCAGCGGUUGAAUCGCUGAGCAGGACGCCCGCCCUCCGUACGGAGGUGGGGAUGAUACCUUAACAGCUGAACAAGAGCCGAGGAAUCUCUAGCGGAAGAUGUACGUGAGAAGCUACAAAGGGCACACGGGGGAUGCCUUGGCACGGCAGGCCGAUGAAGGGCGUAGUUGGCUGCGAUAAGCCUCGGGGAGUUGCCAGCAAACGGUGAUCCGAGGAUUC
RNAcentral lists this small RNA (1205 nucleotides) under uncultured bacterium. RNAcentral's name for it is "bacterial SSU rRNA". The stretch from base 1 to 450 matches the Rfam family "Bacterial small subunit ribosomal RNA", at positions 1064 to 1533 of the family's 1533-position model. The record is from RNAcentral.